AUGUUCAUCGAUCCAACAUCAACCAUCCUUCUUCUCACCGAUAACCACCAUAGUCAUCCCUCUCAUCACUACCUUCCUCCAUCACCAGCUAUUUUUCUUCUUUGCUCCUGCUGUCAACAACCUUCUUCAACCGCUAGCAACUUAGCUCGCCACCUUCUCCAUUUUUCUGCUACGUUAACACAGUUCACCAUCACAACUCUCAGUUUCAUACGGAACGGUUGCCAAUUAAGUCUGUGA
Molecule: non-coding RNA, 237 nt
Organism: Vicia faba (fava bean)
Lineage: Eukaryota; Viridiplantae; Streptophyta; Magnoliopsida; Fabales; Fabaceae
Source: the annotation of a GenBank genome assembly